CACACGUGCACACACAUGAAUGUGCACACAUGCAUGUGCACACACACAUGCAUACUCUCUCUCUCUCAGAUGGAAUAAAUGCAUGGCACCUCUUUCUUCAUAUCAUGCCUGUCUGUUUUGCUGCCUUAACCUUUGAGUCACACUCCACUAAUCUCUGCGUGGAGACAGGUGGAUCAUCAGAAAUGUUUUGCUCAAGACCAGGUAAACUUGACUAUUGUCUACGGAAGCAGACGUGUUUCUCUAGCACACUCUAUGCUUUCUCAGCAGUUUAAGCAUCUAUAGUCCCUGGCCUAAUCCAAAGGUCCAGACUAACCCAUGAUAUUUAUAGAGCAGCCACUAGAUGUUACCAGAGUCGUUGAGGUCAAAUCCUGGGCCCUGCCAGUGUUAACCCGGAGAUUCCAAAUUUUGAGCCAAAUUUGAAGCAAGCUUUAAUUAAAUAAUGACCAGGAUGGACUUUGGCCAGGACCACUCUCUAGAAUUCCCAACGAAUGUUGACUAGACAUGUGUUCAGGGGCUUUUCAUGACAAAACUAUCCAGCCACUGUAUUUCCUCACACAGCUUUGGUAUUUUCCAAGAACUACAACUCCUACAUUCCAGGAAGUUGCCUUUUAUAUGUGGGAGCAUUUGCCUGCUUGUAUGUAGUGUCUCACGUGCAUGCCUGGUGCCAACAGAACUCAGAAGAGAACAUCGGAUUCCCUGGCACUUACAGAGGGUUGUGAGUCACCACAUGGGUGCUGGGAACCGAAACCAGGUCCUCUGCUAGAGCAACAAGCACUCUUAACUGCUGAGCCAUCCCUCAGUCCCAGAAGUUUGGAUGUGAAUAGAAGGCUACUGCAUCCCAUGAGGCGAUUGUCAAGGGAGGUUUUGAAUCCUGCGUCCCACGGAGUAGACUGAUUCUGCAGUCAUAGCAGCACUUGGCCAUGCUGGACUGCUUCCACAGAGGCAAACCUGCUUCACGACAUGACAGAAUACAGAACUUUGGCUCAUGCUCUGCCUGGGUGGGCCAGCCCUAGAAAUGCCCAUGAUUGGAAUAUCUAUUCUUUUUCUUGUUGCUGGAAGAAAGCACCUGACAGAAGGCACGUAAGAGGAGAAGGGUUUAUUUUGGUUUAUUUUUGUGGGGAGUCAAGGCAGAGUCCACGGUAGCAGGGACCUCCAGAGCAGAAAUGGAAUGAAUGCUGGUGAUCAGACGACUUCUCUUUUGACUUCGAAUCCAUGCCAGGGACUGCAGCCCAUGGUGUGGUGCCACCAACGGCUAGGGUAGGGUCUUUGCUUCUAUAUUAGGAUUCUUUGACAGCUCCUCAGAUAAUCUUUUGAGGAAACACCCUCUCAGGCUUACCUUGAGGUGUGUCUUCUGGGUGACUCUAAGUUUCCUCAAGUUGACAAGAUGAAGCAUCACACCAAGCACAUAAAAUAUAUCAUUGUUCCCAAAUGAAGUUAGCUUCAAUCUCAGGAGGUCAUUAGUGGGGCUUCUACACAGAAGGCACCAGCACACAAGGCACAAUGAAGAAGGAUUCCUCUCCGUCUUGCCUCAUUACAUGGGGCCUUGGGGAACAAGACUGGGACUGUAGAGUAACAAGAUAUAAAUGAAAGGCAGAUUUCAGAAGGAGGAGGAGGAAGAGGAGGAGGAGGAGGAAGAGGAGUUGCUUGAGCUAGAACAGCACUCAAGAUAGAGCUACUGCUGGGUGAGUCUCUAACAUCAGGUCAGAUUUCUAACCAGGAAAGACACAACUGAGAGACAGAAGCCAGAUAACAGGUCAACAAAGCAGAUAGCAGAGGUCAACAUACCACCCUUCUUAAUGAUGCUCCUGGUCGUUAAGAACGUGUCUGCAGAAUACAGGCAUGUGAUGGUAGGAGCGAAACAGGAGUCAAGGCAAUGGCUUUCUAACCUUCUAAUCCCAGCCACGGCUGUUGACUGUCAGGCGCCAUGCUAUUAUUGCCUCUGCAUCUGGACUAACACUGGAAGCUGCUGUCCACACUUAGGGUGGACCUUCUCCUGUCAAUUAAUCCAAGCCAGGACACCUCACCAAUGUCCCAACAACUUCCUAUUGCUCUACUCCAGAUCUAGUCAAAUUGACAACUAAGCGGGGGUGUGGGGGUGGGGGAAGAACCACAGGAGCACACCAGUGCUUGGAAGCAGCUCUUGGGUGUACUGUUGGAGAACAACUAUAGUGUGUUGCCACAGGCAUCCACAGCACAUCACUGCACAGAAGCAGUACUCUGUAGAUGAAGCCAACCUGCUUCCAUCGACGUAGACUGGAAAUAACUGCCUUCAGUAGGGAAUGAGGAAAAGUUUUAAUUUGUAAUUUACACAUCCAUCUCAAAGUAGGGGGAGUGGCGUUGAAGUGUGCAUCUAACAGCCUGACAGAGCUCACCUGAAAAGGCAGUCACACAUGUAUUCCAAGAAUGUCCUGAGGAAUUUUGACAACUCAACCAGUAUAACUGAGCCAAUGUUUAUUGAGUAUCUGCUUUGUUUCCAGCUCUGUGGAAAGUCCUGGCUUGCCGGGAGCCAUGGUCUCAGCCAUGUCCUUGUGGAUAUUUUCUAGCUUACAUAAACAAUCCUGAAAGGACAUUCCUGGUCAUAACAGUAAGAAU
Long non-coding RNA from Mus musculus (house mouse), 2592 nucleotides. RefSeq annotates it as predicted gene, 30806. The record is from RefSeq and is a predicted model, not a curated record. Lineage: Eukaryota; Metazoa; Chordata; Mammalia; Rodentia; Muridae. The transcript has 3 exons.